UGGGGAAUAUUGCACAAUGGGCGCAAGCCUGAUGCAGCCAUGCCGCGUGUAUGAAGAAGGCCUUCGGGUUGUAAAGUACUUUCAGCGAGGAGGAAGGCGUUAAGGUUAAUAACCUUGGCGAUUGACGUUACUCGCAGAAGAAGCACCGGCUAACUCCGUGCCAGCAGCCGCGGUAAUACGGAGGGUGCAAGCGUUAAUCGGAAUUACUGGGCGUAAAGCGCACGCAGGCGGUCUGUUAAGUCAGAUGUGAAAUCCCCGGGCUCAACCUGGGAACUGCAUUUGAAACUGGCAGGCUUGAGUCUUGUAGAGGGGGGUAGAAUUCCAGGUGUAGCGGUGAAAUGCGUAGAGAUCUGGAGGAAUACCGGUGGCGAAGGCGGCCCCCUGGACAAAGACUGACGCUCAGGUGCGAAAGCGUGGGGCAGCAAACAGGAUUAGAUACCCUGGUAGUCCACGCUGUAAACGAUGUCGACUUGGAGGUUGUUCCCUUGAGGAGUGGCUUCCGGAGCUAACGCGUUAAGUCGACCGCCUGGGGAGUACGGCCGCAAGGUUAAAAC
RNAcentral lists this ribosomal RNA (554 nucleotides) under uncultured bacterium. Its description in RNAcentral is "partial 16S ribosomal RNA". It matches the Rfam family "Bacterial small subunit ribosomal RNA", at positions 355 to 900 of the family's 1533-position model. The record is from RNAcentral.